CCUCCUUGCUGGGCGCAUGUCUGAACGGAGUGUGGAUGUCAGCUGUGCUUUCGAGCACCACCACGUCAAUCGACACAGUCGCUGACAGGGAGGCUUCUCCAUUGUCACAGACCGACACCACCAAGGGGUGACUUUUCAGGUCAUUGUCGCUCAUUCGCCUCUUGGUCCGAAUCUCCCCGGUGCUGGUUCCGAUCCGGAAGAGGUUGUUGUUGCCUUUGGGCUCAGACAGGUGAUAGGAGAGCAGCGCAUUGUAGCCGGAGUCUGCAUCCACUGCCCUGAUCUUUGCCACAAAGUAUCCCGCUUCGGCAGAAUAGGGGAUGCUCUCACUGUUCACGGAGCCGUGCUCGGAAUAGGGAGCCAAAACGGUGGGACUGUUGUCA
This is a long non-coding RNA of Hippocampus zosterae (dwarf seahorse), 380 nucleotides long. RefSeq lists it as uncharacterized. The transcript has 3 exons. The record is from RefSeq and is a predicted model, not a curated record. NCBI's taxonomy places the organism in Eukaryota, Metazoa, Chordata, Actinopteri, Syngnathiformes, Syngnathidae.